AGUGGCGGACGGGUGAGGAAUACAUCGGAAUCUACCUUUUCGUGGGGGAUAACGUAGGGAAACUUACGCUAAUACCGCAUACGACCUUCGGGUGAAAGCAGGGGACCUUCGGGCCUUGCGCGGAUAGAUGAGCCGAUGUCGGAUUAGCUAGUUGGCGGGGUAAAGGCCCACCAAGGCGACGAUCCGUAGCUGGUCUGAGAGGAUGAUCAGCCACACUGGAACUGAGACACGGUCCAGACUCC
This 242-nucleotide ribosomal RNA is filed under the name uncultured Stenotrophomonas sp. RNAcentral's name for it is "partial 16S ribosomal RNA". It matches the Rfam family "Bacterial small subunit ribosomal RNA", at positions 94 to 339 of the family's 1533-position model. The record is from RNAcentral. Lineage: Bacteria; Pseudomonadati; Pseudomonadota; Gammaproteobacteria; Lysobacterales; Lysobacteraceae.